AGACAGCAGUAGCCGCGGUAAUACAGAGGGUGCGAGCGUUAAUCGGAUUUACUGGGCGUAAAGCGUGCGUAGGCGGCUUUUUAAGUCGGAUGUGAAAUCCCUGAGCUUAACUUAGGAAUUGCAUUCGAUACUGGGAAGCUAGAGUAUGGGAGAGGAUGGUAGAAUUCCAGGUGUAGCGGUGAAAUGCGUAGAGAUCUGGAGGAAUACCGAUGGCGAAGGCAGCCAUCUGGCCUAAUACUGACGCUGAGGUACGAAAGCAUGGGGAGCAAACAGGAUUAGAGACCCCCGUAGUCCCUGUCUCUUAUAC
Molecule: ribosomal RNA, 307 nt
Filed under: uncultured bacterium
Lineage: Bacteria
Description: partial 16S ribosomal RNA
Rfam family: Bacterial small subunit ribosomal RNA
Source: RNAcentral